AUAGCCCAUCCAACUACCUCACCCCAUACUGUAUUUAUUUAUUUAUCUUGCUCCUUUGCACCCCAGUAUCUCUACUUGCACAUUCAUCUUCUGCACAUCAAUCACUCUAGUGUUUAAUUUGUAUAUUGUAAUCACUUUGCCACCAUGGCCUAUUUAUUGCCCUACCUCCCUUAUCUUACCUCAUUUGCACACACUGUAUAUAGUCUUUUUCUACUGUAUUAUUGACUGUAUGUUUGUUUAUUCCAUGUGUAACUCUCUGUUGUUGUAUGUGUUGAACUGCUUUGCUUUAUUCUUGGCCAGGUCGCAGUUGUAAAUGAGAACUAGUUCUCAACUUGCCUACCUGGUUAAAUAAAGGUGAAAUAAAAAAAUAUUACCAUAAACUUUUUCUCUGCUAGCUAGUGUGCAUAUAGUGACGUAAUGCUAGUGGACGCAGCAUGUAAUGACUUAAUGCUAAUGGUUGUUGUACUGUUACAAGUACCCUCAAUGGCAGUGGGUACGGCGUGUAGUUACUGCAGUCCGCAGAUGGAUAUUAUUGCUUGAAAGGAGCUCACGUCUUCACUUUUCUGAGGAGAUAUUGUUCGUGUUUGUGGGUGCGUAGCCAGAUGUGAUCAGAGGAGCUGUGUGCCAUGGUGAAUGUCCCUUUUGAAGAGGCCAGAGUUUUGCAGUCAGAGAUGGAGAGUGCUAGCGAUAGUUCAGACGAGGAAAGUGAUCAUGAGGAAAAUGCCAGUGGCAUCUCAGGAUUUCUUUGUGAAAAAGCAUACCUUUUACCUAUAAUAAUAGCUAGCUAAAUGUACAUUGUUUUUAGGAAAAUGGCAAUGCUAAAAUACUGAAAUCUGCUGAACAUUCUACACUGAAUGAUGUAGCUAAUAUAUUUCAAAUUAUUGUAUCGAUAUAGGUUCUCUCAUUUGAAAUGUUUAAGACAACACGCAUCAAAGAGCAGAGCAAACAACGGCAGACCAAUCAAUUGCUACCAAUCAAGGGUUGGCAGGACAGAGCGCAACAGGAAGGUCAACAACAGAAGGGGAGGUGAAGAGAAAGCCAUGCAAUAUGGGACCAGUGUGUCAGAGGGAUGUCGAAGGUCCUCCAAGCGCUCCUGCGAUGCAAUCUGUGAUGAGGACAGAGAGAAGAUUUUCCAGUACUUCUGGCAAACGUUAGACUGGAAUGAGAGGAAAGUGUAUGUGUGUGGUUUUGUUGACUGUACUGCAGUGCAGCGAUGCAGGUCUGAGAAUAUGAGCCCUAGAAGGACAUCCACAUUGGCAUACCAUAUUGAAGUUUAUGGUGAGAAGAAGAGAGUAUGUGAACACUUGUUGGCUGAAUGGUCUGUGCUACACUGGGUGCAAGCGAAGGAGCUUGGGGAGACCAUCAGAUUAGCACCUGUGAGGAAUGAGGCACAAAACGAUGACAACAUUUCUGUGCGACUUACCGAUAGUACCAUCACACUACUGCACGUCAUCCUCCUCUAAGCAGUACCUGGAGCCUGUUUUCCAGUCCGUGUCAGAGCUACAGCUGUCAAUGUGAGGAGGAUGGGAAACUCCUCAGUCCCGCCAGGUGUUCACACUAACAUGAUUUCUUUGACUAUGACAGUUGAUAUUUGCACUGUUUGAUUAUUUAUUACUUACAUGAUUCUUACUGGAAUACCUACCUUGAUUUGAUGUUGAAUUCCUUGCUGAAAUGUGCCUUGAUGAUAUUUCCAUACUUGUAACAUGAUUGAUAGUGAAAUGUUGAUACUGACUGUUUUAAUACUUAUACUUUGAGUAAAAAAAUUCAACAUCA
Molecule: long non-coding RNA, 1773 nt
Organism: Oncorhynchus tshawytscha (Chinook salmon)
Lineage: Eukaryota; Metazoa; Chordata; Actinopteri; Salmoniformes; Salmonidae
Exons: 2
Source: RefSeq, a predicted model, not a curated record